ACCAAAAACACUUCUUCUAGCUCUCCAGCGGCUACAAAUCCAUCCAAAAAUCUUGGAUUUCUACCUCAAAUUUUAAGGCAAACACAUUCUCUCGACAUAUCCUUGAUCAAAACUAUCUCCCUCUUGCUCUCCAUCAAAAUCUCAAGCCCUAAUCUCCAAAAUCCGAGACAAUUACUCCAAAAUCCUUUUCUUCUCCUCAUUUCUAUCCAUCUUCACCCUUCUCUAUUCUCUUGAUCGGUUCUCCUACUCUCCUUGGGACAAUGGCCCCCAAAAUGAGAUUGCCAC
RNAcentral lists this long non-coding RNA (285 nucleotides) under Elaeis guineensis (African oil palm). Its description in RNAcentral is "long non-coding RNA (EGUI_LNC049805)". The record is from RNAcentral. Lineage: Eukaryota; Viridiplantae; Streptophyta; Magnoliopsida; Arecales; Arecaceae.